Molecule: small nuclear RNA, 304 nt
Filed under: Propithecus coquereli (Coquerel's sifaka)
Lineage: Eukaryota; Metazoa; Chordata; Mammalia; Primates; Indriidae
Description: 7SK RNA (ENSPCOG00000008930.1)
Rfam family: 7SK RNA
About the family: 7SK was discovered as an abundant small nuclear RNA in the mid-70s but a possible function has only recently been suggested. Two independent studies have found that 7SK RNA binds the CDK9/cyclin T complex (known as elongation factor P-TEFb).
Source: Rfam by way of RNAcentral
AACUGGGGAUCUUGCUGCAACAUCUGUCACUCCAUUGAUUGCCAGGGUUGAUUUGGCUGAUCCGGCUGUCUGAGUGGGUGUUCCCCUCCCUAACCUCCCUCAGCAUGCCAUGCAUGUCCCUCCUGAAGCUGAGAGCUUGGUCCAAGAGGAUGACCUACCCCAAUAGAAGAGGACCAUUCCUCAGUCAAGGGUAUGUCAGGAGCUGCACUCCCCUUCUAGAACCUCCAAACAAGCUGUCAAACUGUGGGGAUCUUUCUCUGCUUUCUAGCCCAGAUACCAGGUCAUUAGGCCACUAGGGCCUGCU